GGGGGGGGGGGGGGGGGGGGGGGGGGGGGGGGGGGGGGGGGGGGGGGGGGGGGGGGGGGGGGGGUGCGGGUGGCGAGUGGGGGGCGGGGGGGGAGUGCAGCGGGAUCGGCUUGUUGGUCGUGGGUACCGGGGGGGCACUGCGGCUACUAGCGCAGGCGCCCUGCGGGUGGAAGCCGUGGAUUUGCGGACGUUGCGCGAAGUGAUGAGCCGUUGUCUGUUUAGCUAUGUGGCGGGUUCAAGGCCCACCAAGGCGCCGAUCCGUAGCUGAUCUGAGAGGCUGAUCAGCCACAUUGGAACUGAGACACGGUCCAGACUCCUACGGGAGGCAGCAGCUGGGAAUAUUCGGCAAUGGGCGCAAGCCUGAUCCAGCCAUACCGCGUGGGUGAAGAAGGCCUUCGGGUUGUAAAGCCCUUUGGUUGGGAAAGAAAAGCAGCAGGUGAAUACCCCGCUGUUCUGCCGGUACCCAAAGAAUAAGCACCGGCUAACUUCGUG
RNAcentral lists this ribosomal RNA (492 nucleotides) under uncultured bacterium. RNAcentral describes it as "partial 16S ribosomal RNA". The stretch from base 66 to 492 matches the Rfam family "Bacterial small subunit ribosomal RNA", at positions 39 to 507 of the family's 1533-position model. The record is from RNAcentral.